UGGACUACUUUAUUCUUUCCGUCCAGCGGGUUGUCGCAACGCGAAAAACAGCCGGAGGGAAAAAUACAGAGCCGCCACCGACGCUAUUCAUCCUCUGACGGAAAGGGAGCGCAGGACUAACCUAAGAAAGGGAAAGGAAUGGUCUUACGACCAGAGAUUGCAAGGUACGGGAGUCGGUUACGCAAGGGGAAGACGCUAUUCAUCCUCUGACGGAAAGGGAGCGCAGGACUAACCUAAGAAAGGGAAAGGAAUGGUCUUACGACCAGAGAUUGCAAGGUACGGGAGUCGGUUACGCAAGGGGAAGGUAUUAGCACCCCCUCUUGUCCGUCGUACUCGACGGGAUCCACGCUCAAAAGAAUAGGAAAAGGUUG
This 371-nucleotide long non-coding RNA is filed under the name Lathyrus oleraceus (garden pea). Its description in RNAcentral is "Pisum sativum (pea) long non-coding RNA (PSAT_LNC029603)". The record is from RNAcentral. Lineage: Eukaryota; Viridiplantae; Streptophyta; Magnoliopsida; Fabales; Fabaceae.